ACUCCUACGGGAGGCAGCAGUAGGGAAUCUUCCACAAUGGGCGCAAGCCUGAUGGAGCAACACCGCGUGAGUGAAGAAGGGUUUCGGCUCGUAAAGCUCUGUUGUUAAAGAAGAACACGUAUGAGAGUAACUGUUCAUACGUUGACGGUAUUUAACCAGAAAGUCACGGCUAACUACGUGCCAGCAGACGCGGUAAUACGUAGGUGGCAAGCGUUAUCCGGAUUUAUUGGGCGUAAAGAGAGUGCAGGCGGUUUUCUAAGUCUGAUGUGAAAGCCUUCGGCUUAACCGGAGAAGUGCAUCGGAAACUGGAUAACUUGAGUGCAGAAGAGGGUAGUGGAACUCCAUGUGUAGCGGUGGAAUGCGUAGAUAUAUGGAAGAACACCAGUGGCGAAGGCGGCUACCUGGUCUGCAACUGACGCUGAGACUCGAAAGCAUGGGUAGCGAACAGGAUUAGAUACCCUGGUAGGAUAGCGUAGUCGUGGGGAACAAGGCACACAGGGGGAUA
RNAcentral lists this ribosomal RNA (505 nucleotides) under uncultured bacterium. RNAcentral describes it as "bacterial SSU rRNA". It matches the Rfam family "Bacterial small subunit ribosomal RNA", at positions 335 to 834 of the family's 1533-position model. The record is from RNAcentral.